Molecule: long non-coding RNA, 450 nt
Organism: Amphimedon queenslandica
Lineage: Eukaryota; Metazoa; Porifera; Demospongiae; Haplosclerida; Niphatidae
Exons: 4
Source: RefSeq, a predicted model, not a curated record
GGGCGUGGUAAUAAAUAAGGGCGUGACCGUGACUUGCAUAUGGCCGAUUAAUUGGUCUCUCACAUGACUAGCUUUGUUUAAAUCUUGUUUAUUCAUCGCUCUUGAAAGAGAAGACAGAAAGACAGCAGAGGAUUUACAGAAUGGCCACUGGUUAUCGUGAGUUCGAUGACUUUGCUCACUCUACUGUUUCGAGGCCCUCUAAUCCUCAGAUUGCUCGUAACUUACAAGAAGUAGAGGAAAACGUACAACACUUCAAUAACAAUGUUCGUACACUCGAGAAUAAAUCUAAUCUUUUGAAUUCGAGAGACGAUUCGCCAAAAUUAAGAGACGAACUGGAAUAUUCCUACCGGCUGUGAUGAUACCCACAAUUAGCGAUUCAAAGAGAUUCCUCUAUCACCACUGGUACUGACCCGUCUGUAAUCCAAUCUGUGAACAAGAUAGUGCGGGAAA